RNAcentral lists this microRNA (24 nucleotides) under Vitis vinifera (wine grape). RNAcentral describes it as "miRNA s840122_1". Lineage: Eukaryota; Viridiplantae; Streptophyta; Magnoliopsida; Vitales; Vitaceae. The record is from RNAcentral.
CUAGGGGUCGACCGGUUGACUAGC